CAGUGUCUGGUGGGUAGUUUGACUGGGGCGGUCUCCUCCUAAAGAGUAACGGAGGAGCACGAAGGUUGGCUAAUCCUGGUCGGACAUCAGGAGGUUAGUGCAAUGGCAUAAGCCAGCUUGACUGCGAGCGUGACGGCGCGAGCAGGUGCGAAAGCAGGUCAUAGUGAUCCGGUGGUUCUGAAUGGAAGGGCCAUCGCUCAACGGAUAAAAGGUACUCCGGGGAUAACAGGCUGAUACCGCCCAAGAGUUCAUAUCGACGGCGGUGUUUGGCACCUCGAUGUCGGCUCAUCACAUCCUGGGGCUGAAGUAGGUCCCAAGGGUAUGGCUGUUCGCCAUUUAAAGUGGUACGCGAGCUGGGUUUAGAACGUCGUGAGACAGUUCGGUCCCUAUCUGCCGUGGGCGCUGGAGAACUGAGGGGGGCUGCUCCUAGUACGAGAGGACCGGAGUGGACGCAUCACUGGUGUUCGGGUUGUCAUGCCAAUGGCACUGCCCGGUAGCUAAAUGCGGAAGAGAUAAGUGCUGAAAGCAUCUAAGCACGAAACUUGCCCCGAGAUGAGUUCUCCCUGACUCCUUGAGAGUCC
RNAcentral lists this ribosomal RNA (581 nucleotides) under Escherichia coli. Its description in RNAcentral is "partial 23S ribosomal RNA". It matches the Rfam family "Bacterial large subunit ribosomal RNA", at positions 2252 to 2828 of the family's 2925-position model. The record is from RNAcentral. Lineage: Bacteria; Pseudomonadati; Pseudomonadota; Gammaproteobacteria; Enterobacterales; Enterobacteriaceae.